GAUGAACGCUGGCGGCGUGCCUAAUACAUGCAAGUCGAGCGAACGGACGAGAAGCUUGCUUCUCUGAUGUUAGCGGCGGACGGGUGAGUAACACGUGGAUAACCUGCCUAUAAGACUGGGAUAACUUCGGGAAACCGGAGCUAAUACCGGAUAAUAUCUUGAACCGCAUGGUUCAAAAGUGAAAGACGGUCUUGCUGUCACUUAUAGAUGGAUCCGCGCUGCAUUAGCUAGUUGGUAAGGUAACGGCUUACCAAGGCAACGAUGCAUAGCCGACCUGAGAGGGUGAUCGGCCACACUGGAACUGAGACACGGUCCAGACUCCUACGGGAGGCAGCAGUAGGGAAUCUUCCGCAAUGGGCGAAAGCCUGACGGAGCAACGCCGCGUGAGUGAUGAAGGUCUUCGGAUCGUAAAACUCUGUUAUUAGGGAAGAACAUAUGUGUAAGUAACUGUGCACAUCUUGACGGUACCUAAUCAGAAAGCCACGGCUAACUACGUG
This 497-nucleotide ribosomal RNA is filed under the name uncultured bacterium. Its description in RNAcentral is "partial 16S ribosomal RNA". It matches the Rfam family "Bacterial small subunit ribosomal RNA", at positions 28 to 507 of the family's 1533-position model. The record is from RNAcentral.